CGUCAAGUCAUCAUGCCCCUUAUGUCCAGGGCUGCACACGUGCUACAAUGGCCGGUACAGCGAGCUGCGAACCCGUGAGGGUAAGCGAAUCUCUUAAAGCCGGCCCCAGUUCGGAUUGAAGGCUGCAAUUCGCCUUCAUGAAGUAGGAGUUGCUAGUAAUCGCGGAUCAGCAUGCCGCGGUGAAUACGUUCCCGGGCCUU
RNAcentral lists this ribosomal RNA (200 nucleotides) under uncultured prokaryote. Its description in RNAcentral is "partial 16S ribosomal RNA". It matches the Rfam family "Bacterial small subunit ribosomal RNA", at positions 1183 to 1382 of the family's 1533-position model. The record is from RNAcentral.